This 275-nucleotide ribosomal RNA is filed under the name uncultured Vampirovibrio sp. RNAcentral describes it as "partial 16S ribosomal RNA". It matches the Rfam family "Bacterial small subunit ribosomal RNA", at positions 338 to 629 of the family's 1533-position model. Lineage: Bacteria; Bacillati; Candidatus Melainabacteria; Vampirovibriophyceae; Vampirovibrionales; Vampirovibrionaceae. The record is from RNAcentral.
CCUACGGGGGGCUGCAGUAGGGAAUAUUGCGCAAUGGGCGAAAGCCUGACGCAGCAACACCGCGUGAAGGAUGAAGCUUUUCGGAGUGUAAACUUCUGUCGGCAGGGAAGAAUUUUGACGGUACCUGCAAAGGAAGCAUCGGCUAACUACGUGCCAGCAGCCGCGGUAAGACGUAGGAUGCAAGCGUUGUCCGGAAUUAUUGGGCGUAAAGAGUUCGUAGGUGGUCUAUUAAGUCUGGUGUUAAAUCCCGGGGCUCAACCCCGAUCCAGCAUUGG